CCCCUUUGAAAAGCACUCAUCGUGCCUUUCACUAAUGACCCACUGAGCCUCCAAGAAAGGGCAAAGUGAAAACACCGCUUUUGGAUGACGUAGCAGCAGGUCGUGUCGUUUCGCUUCAGUUGGUGGUGUGACAUGG
Small nucleolar RNA from Artibeus jamaicensis (Jamaican fruit-eating bat), 136 nucleotides. NCBI's taxonomy places the organism in Eukaryota, Metazoa, Chordata, Mammalia, Chiroptera, Phyllostomidae. The record is from RefSeq and is a predicted model, not a curated record.